CCUACGGGGGGCAGCAGUGGGGAAUAUUGCACAAUGGGGGAAACCCUGAUGCAGCGACGCCGCGUGAGCGAUGAAGUAUUUCGGUAUGUAAAGCUCUGUCAGCAGGGAAGAAAAUGACGGUACCUGACUAAGAAGCCCCGGCUAACUACGUGCCAUCAGCCGCGGUAAUACGUAGGGGGCAAGCGUUAUCCGGAUUUACUGGGGGUAAAGGGAGCGUAGACGGUCCUGCAACCCAGGGGUGAAAGCCCGGGGCCCAACCCCGGGACUGCAGUUGGAACUGUAAGGCUAGAGUGUGGGAGAGGCAGGCGGAAUUCCUGGUGUAGCGGUGAAAUGCGUAGAUAGUAGGAGGAACACCAGUGGCGAAGGCGGCCUGCUGGACGAUGACUGACGUUGAGGCUCGAAAGCGUGGGGAGCAAACAGGAUUAGAUACCCGUGUAGUC
This 440-nucleotide ribosomal RNA is filed under the name uncultured bacterium. Its description in RNAcentral is "partial 16S ribosomal RNA". It matches the Rfam family "Bacterial small subunit ribosomal RNA", at positions 338 to 795 of the family's 1533-position model. The record is from RNAcentral.